Monodelphis domestica (gray short-tailed opossum) is the source of this 884-nucleotide long non-coding RNA. RefSeq lists it as uncharacterized. NCBI's taxonomy places the organism in Eukaryota, Metazoa, Chordata, Mammalia, Didelphimorphia, Didelphidae. The record is from RefSeq and is a predicted model, not a curated record.
CUUCUGCUAUCUUUUUUGAAGCAAUAUACCAGAGUUCAGAGCCUUCUCAACUCAAACCCAAUAUUCAGUUUUGCUUCUGGAAUUCCCAGGACUCUGAAAACUAAUGCUAGUGAAAUGAUUAGGAAAGCAGGUGAGGGAUGUAGAUGAAGGGAACACAUCAUAGUUAUUCAGUGAAACAACAAUCAGAUACAUAACCAGAAAAAACAAAAAACCUCAACAACUCUUGUAACAUAUUGUCUCUUAGUUACUCUGAAGAGAAAAGAAAGGACAGUCAAGAAAAACAAGUUUUAAUUGGAUGAUUCUGUUGUUCCAAGGACCAGUGCUGUGCACAGACCCAUUUUAAAAUCUCUGAUGAUAACAACGGGAAAGGAUGCUUGAGAGACUUGCACAACAGCACAUUUAGGGAGGCAACUGGAAAAUGAUUUCUUUGUGACACAUAAAAAAUACUGAAGACUAUUGGUGGCUUUUAUACAUUUUUUGACAAAUCAUGCAAGGAUGAGCAGGAAAAAAGAGCCACCCAGAUAUUUAUGAGGAAAUACCUACAUAUCAAUUGGGUGCCAGGAGCUGGAUGAAAAAUGAACCCAGGAUUCUCAGAAAGAACUUGGUGUAACCAUGUACCGAGACAGAGAAGUUGCUUAAAAAAUCCUCAUGGAUUUCUUCUUCCACCAAGGCCUGAAACUCCCUGAUGACUUUAUGGAAUGCAUCCUUUUCCAUUGUCCAUUUGGAGGUAUCAGUCACAACCGCAGGUUUUAGUAGAUUAUUGGGCUGACCCACUUCUUUUUUCUAUGCUCUUUCCCUUUGUUGUCGUGUUCUCUUGGAUGCUUCCAGUUUAGCCCCAUACCCUUCCUUAAACAUCUCAAAUUAAAAGGUCUAUUGUAUCAAUA